RNAcentral lists this ribosomal RNA (447 nucleotides) under uncultured bacterium. RNAcentral describes it as "bacterial SSU rRNA". It matches the Rfam family "Bacterial small subunit ribosomal RNA", at positions 355 to 825 of the family's 1533-position model. The record is from RNAcentral.
UCGGGAAUUUUGGGCAAUGGGCGAAAGCCUGACCCAGCAACGCCGCGUGAAGGAUGAAGUAUUUCGGUAUGUAAACUUCGUAAGAAUAGGAAGAAUAAAUGACGGUACUAUUUGUAAGGUCCGGCUAACUACGUGCCAGCAGCCGCGGUAAUACGGAGGGUGCAAGCGUUGUUCGGAUUUACUGGGCGUAAAGCGCGUGUAGGCGGGUCGUUAAGUUGGGGGUGAAAUCCCGAGGCUCAACCUCGGAACUGCCUUCAAAACUGGCGACCUGGACCUAAGUAGAGGCAAGUGGAAUUGCGAGUGUAGAGGUGAAAUUCGUAGAUAUUCGCAGGAACACCAGUGGCGAAGGCGACUUGCUGGACUUAUGGUGACGCUGAGACGCGAAAGCGUGGGGAGCAAACAGGAUUAGAUACCCAAGUAGUCCCUGAGCGGGCUGGCAAGGCGCAU